This 253-nucleotide ribosomal RNA is filed under the name uncultured bacterium. Its description in RNAcentral is "partial 16S ribosomal RNA". It matches the Rfam family "Bacterial small subunit ribosomal RNA", at positions 524 to 776 of the family's 1533-position model. The record is from RNAcentral.
UACGGAGGGGGCUAGCGUUAUUCGGAAUUAUUGGGCGUAAAGGGCGCGUAGGCGGCCCGGUAAGUCAAAGGUGAAAUCCCUCGGCUCAACUGAGGAACUGCCUUUGAAACUGUCGGGCUUGAGGCCGGGAGGGGGUAGCGGAAUUCCCAGUGUAGCGGUGAAAUGCGUAGAGAUCAGGAGGAACACCGGUGGCGCAGGCGGCCUGCUGGCUCGUCACUGACGCUGAGGCGCGAAAGCGUGGGGAGCGAACGGG